GAUGAACGCUGGCGGCGUGCCUAACACAUGCAAGUCGAACGACAGGUGGAGAUGGUUGCCCUCUGUCGGCAGGCGUCAUUUCGAGUGGUGGCCGGGUGAGUAAUGCGUGGGUAUCAUGCCUCAUUCAGGGGGAUAGCAGUUGAAAACGACUGUUAAUACCGCAUAAGACCAUUGAUCCGCAUGGUGCGGAGGUUAAGACUCCGGUGGUAUGGGAUGGACCCGCGUUCGAUUAGCCAGUUGGCAGGGUAACGGCCCACCAAGGCGACGAUCGAUAGCGGAUCUGAGAGGAUGACCGGCCAGAUUGGAACUGAGACACGGCCCAAACUCCUACGGGAGGCAGCAGUGGGGAAUAUUGCACAAUGGGGGAAACCCUGAUGCAGCGACGCCGCGUGAAUGAUGAAGUAUUUCGGUAUGUAAAGCUCUAUCAGCAGUGAAGAAUAUGACGGUACCUGAGGAAGAAGCCCCGGCUAACUACGUG
Molecule: ribosomal RNA, 478 nt
Filed under: uncultured bacterium
Lineage: Bacteria
Description: partial 16S ribosomal RNA
Rfam family: Bacterial small subunit ribosomal RNA
Source: RNAcentral